GCUGGUGUAGCACAGUUGGCAGUGAUGUUCACUCGUAAUGAAGAGAUUCGAAUCCUCUCACCAGCA
RNAcentral lists this transfer RNA (66 nucleotides) under Virgibacillus salinus. It matches the Rfam family "tRNA". Rfam says of the family: Transfer RNA (tRNA) molecules are approximately 80 nucleotides in length. RNAcentral also lists the same sequence under 1 other name. Lineage: Bacteria; Bacillati; Bacillota; Bacilli; Caryophanales; Bacillaceae. The record is from Rfam by way of RNAcentral.